AAGCGGAGGAAAAGAAACCAACAGGGAUUGCCCUAGUAACGGCGAGUGAAGCGGCAACAGCUCAAAUUUGAAAGCUGGCCUUCGGGUCCGCAUUGUAAUUUGUAGAGGAUGCUUUGAGGCAGCCGCCUGUCUAAGUUCCUUGGAACAGGACGUCAUAGAGGGUGAGAAUCCCGUAUGUGACAGGACGUGGCACCUUAUGUAAAGCUCCUUCGACGAGUCGAGUUGUUUGGGAAUGCAGCUCUAAAUGGGAGGUAAAUUUCUUCUAAAGCUAAAUACCGGCGAGAGACCGAUAGCGCACAAGUAGAGUGAUCGAAAGAUGAAAAGCACUUUGGAAAGAGAGUUAAAAAGCACGUGAAAUUGUUGAAAGGGAAGCGCUUGCAAUCAGACUUGUUCAAACCGUUCGGCCGGUCUUCUGACCGGUUUACUCGGUUUGGACAGGCCAGCAUCAGUUUUGGCGGCCGGAUAAAGGCCCUGGGAAUGUGGCUUCCACUUCGGUGGAAGUGUUAUAGCCCAGGGUGUAAUACGGCCAGCCGGGACUGAGGUCCGCGCUUCGGCUAGGAUGCUGGCGUAAUGGUUGUAAGCGACCCGUCUUG
This 593-nucleotide ribosomal RNA is filed under the name Aureobasidium sp. Its description in RNAcentral is "eukaryotic LSU rRNA". It matches the Rfam family "Eukaryotic large subunit ribosomal RNA", at positions 48 to 656 of the family's 3401-position model. The record is from RNAcentral. Lineage: Eukaryota; Fungi; Ascomycota; Dothideomycetes; Dothideales; Saccotheciaceae.